ACGAACGCUGGCGGCAGGCCUAACACAUGCCAGUCGAGCGAGCAUUUCGGUGCUAGCGGCGGACGGGUGAGUAACGCGUGGGAACGUGCCCUUUUCUGCGGAAUAGUCCUGGGAAACUGGGGGUAAUACCGCAUACGCCCUUUUGGGGAAAGAUUUAUCGGAGAAGGAUCGGCCCGCGUUGGAUUAGGUAGUUGGUGGGGUAAUGGCCCACCAAGCCGACGAUCCAUAGCUGGUUUGAGAGGAUGAUCAGCCACACUGGGACUGAGACACGGCCCAGACUCCUACGGGAGGCAGCAGUGGGGAAUCUUAGACAAUGGGGGCAACCCUGAUCUAGCCAUGCCGCGUGAGUGAUGAAGGCCUUAGGGUUGUAAAGCUCUUUCAGCUGGGAAGAUAAUGACGGUACCAGCAGAAGAAGCCCCGGCUAACUCCGUG
This 432-nucleotide ribosomal RNA is filed under the name uncultured bacterium. RNAcentral describes it as "partial 16S ribosomal RNA". It matches the Rfam family "Bacterial small subunit ribosomal RNA", at positions 29 to 507 of the family's 1533-position model. The record is from RNAcentral.